AGAAUGAACCGGCGAGUUACGAUUUGAUGCAAGGUUAAGCAGUAAAUGUGGAGCCGUAGCGAAAGCGAGUCUGAAUAGGGCGUUUAGUAUUUGGUCGUAGACCCGAAACCAGGUGAUCUACCCUUGGUCAGGUUGAAGUUCAGGUAACACUGAAUGGAGGACCGAACCGACUUACGUUGAAAAGUGAGCGGAUGAACUGAGGGUAGCGGAGAAAUUCCAAUCGAACCUGGAGAUAGCUGGUUCUCUCCGAAAUAGCUUUAGGGCUAGCCUCAAGUGAUGAUUAUUGGAGGUAGAGCACUGUUUGGACGAGGGGCCCCUCUCGGGUUACCGAAUUCAGACAAACUCCGAAUGCCAAUUAAUUUAACUUGGGAGUCAGAACAUGGGUGAUAAGGUCCGU
Molecule: ribosomal RNA, 397 nt
Filed under: Staphylococcus aureus
Lineage: Bacteria; Bacillati; Bacillota; Bacilli; Caryophanales; Staphylococcaceae
Description: partial 23S ribosomal RNA
Rfam family: Bacterial large subunit ribosomal RNA
Source: RNAcentral